CAAAAUUUUAACAUCAGAAUUCAUUGAACAAGCCGUUUUAAGGCCACCCACUCUGUUCCGUGCCACCCUCAAUUUGUCUCAACUGAAACGAACGCCUGAUAUCUCGGCCAGAAAUGGCCGUUUCCAUUGAAAGCAGCGUCUGGGAUUGUGUUAUAGAGAUAACCAAGGUGGCCCAAGAGAAAGGCAGUGAUCCUUUGCUCUGGGCUCUGCAGAUAUCAUCAAAUUUAAGCUCUAGUGGAGUCCUGUUACCCUCUCCAGAGCUAGCAGAUGUGUUGGUGUCUUACAUUUGUUGGGAUAAUAAUGUGCCCAUUCUCUGGAAGUUUCUGGAGAAGGCCUUGGUGUUGAAGAUUUUGCCUCCUUUGAUGGUUCUUGCUCUUCUUUCUGACAG
RNAcentral lists this unclassified non-coding RNA (388 nucleotides) under Hevea brasiliensis (rubber tree). Lineage: Eukaryota; Viridiplantae; Streptophyta; Magnoliopsida; Malpighiales; Euphorbiaceae. The record is from RNAcentral.